CUGGGAGGACCAUCUCCUAAGGCUAAAUACUCUCUAGUGACCGAUAGUGAACCAGUACCGUGAGGGAAAGGUGAAAAGCACCCCGGAAGGGGAGUGAAAUAGAACCUGAAACCGUGUGCUUACAAGUAGUCAGAGCCCGUUAAUGGGUGAUGGCGUGCCUUUUGUAGAAUGAACCGGCGAGUUACGAUUUGAUGCAAGGUUAAGCAGUAAAUGUGGAGCCGUAGCGAAAGCGAGUCUGAAUAGGGCGUUUAGUAUUUGGUCGUAGACCCGAAACCAGGUGAUCUACCCUUGGUCAGGUUGAAGUUCAGGUAACACUGAAUGGAGGACCGAACCGACUUACGUUGAAAAGUGAGCGGAUGAACUGAGGGUAGCGGAGAAAUUCCAAUCGAACCUGGAGAUAGCUGGUUCUCUCCGAAAUAGCUUUAGGGCUAGCCUCAAGUGAUGAUUAUUGGAGGUAGAGCACUGUUUGGACGAGGGGCCCCUCUCGGGUUACCGAAUUCAGACAAACUCCGAAUGCCAAUUAAUUUAACUUGGGAGUCAGAACAUGGGUGAUAAGGUCCGUGUUCGAAAGGGAAACAGCCCAGACCACCAGCUAAGGUCCCAAAAUAUAUGUUAAGUGGAAAAGGAUGUGGCGUUGCCCAGACAACUAGGAUGUUGGCUUAGAAGCAGCCAUCAUUUAAAGAGUGCGUAAUAGCUCACUAGUCGAGUGACACUGCGCCGAAAAUGUACCGGGGCUAAACAUAUUACCGAAGCUGUGGAUUGUCCUUUGGACAAUGGUAGGAGAGCGUUCUAAGGGCGUUGAAGCAUGAUCGUAAGGACAUGUGGAGCGCUUAGAAGUGAGAAUGCCGGUGUGAGUAGCGAAAGACGGGUGAGAAUCCCGUCCACCGAUUGACUAAGGUUUCCAGAGGAAGGCUCGUCCGCUCUGGGUUAGUCGGGUCCUAAGCUGAGGCCGACAGGCGUAGGCGAUGGAUAACAGGUUGAUAUUCCUGUACCACCUAUAAUCGUUUUAAUCGAUGGGGGGACGCAGUAGGAUAGGCGAAGCGUGCGAUUGGAUUGC
RNAcentral lists this ribosomal RNA (1057 nucleotides) under Staphylococcus aureus. Its description in RNAcentral is "partial 23S ribosomal RNA". It matches the Rfam family "Bacterial large subunit ribosomal RNA", at positions 444 to 1507 of the family's 2925-position model. The record is from RNAcentral. Lineage: Bacteria; Bacillati; Bacillota; Bacilli; Caryophanales; Staphylococcaceae.